CAGAGCUGCCAUCAAAACACAUUUCUGAGGCUCUCUAUAAAGUAAAUGUAACACAUGCUACCUUUUAAAAUUAUUGUUAUUCAUAUUCUUAUUUUUUGGUGCACUUGGAAAAAAAUUUUCGAGUGCUAUGACCCAGAAUUUGCCUAAAUUCAGUCUGUGUCUAUAAAGAAUGAUGACAUUCACUUUCCAGCUUCAGUGUCUGUUUUUACCAUAUAGCACACACUGGCUAUACAAACACACAACUUUAAUUUAGUAUUUAGCCAUUUAAUAAUGCAUUUCUUCAUUUCAUUUCUGCAUUUUCGCCGCCCCAGGCCAUGCCGAUUGAUAAGGACGCAUCCUCCUCAGUCACUGGAAUCAACAUUGGAAACAUCUUGGGGCCUCUGGAUCCUGCAGACACACCUAUGGCUUAUUGCAUUCCUUUCUGGAUGACAGGCAAGGCUCUGAUCAUCUCACUCACAGCACCAUCUCAUCUACAUUAAUUAGGCUACUUCAAUAAGACAGUGUGGCAUCACCUGACUUUCCUGGAGCCCCUUUCAGCACUGGAAGCUGCUCUAAGGUCUCCUUGGAGCCUUCUCUUCUCCAGGCUGAACAACCCCAACUCUCUCAGCCUGUCCUCGUACAGUUGGAUCAUCUCCGUGGCCUCCUCUGGACCCAUUCCAACAGCUCCAUCUCCUUUUUAUGUUGGGGAUUCUGGAAUUGGACCCGGGGCUCCAGGUGGGUCACUCAGAUCAGAGGGGCAGAAGCCCCUCCCUCCCUGCUGGCCACGCUGCUUUGGAUGCAGUCCAGGACACGGGUGGUUCCUGGGCUGCGAGCGCACUUUGCUGGCUCAUGUCAAGUUUCUCAUCAAUUUAAUUUACAUACAUGUCUAUAUAAAAUAACGCCAUAGCUGUUCAAACGAAAACAGUUUUCCCCAUAUAAUACAAGGAACAUCUAAUUGAUUAGAAAGCGAGGUAAAAUGUGAAGAACUAUUUAGUACAUUAUAACCUUGCAAGAAAGAGUGGCAGGGACAAGCAAAAGUACAGGACAAUAAAGCUUGUAGGAGUGUCUUAAAUGCACUUCAGAGCUGGGAAAUCAACUAAGACUCGAGCCAGAAGCACAAACAACAGAUUGUACAAUAUGAGCUUGGAUCACACCAAGUUCAUUCAACAGGGUUUAAAAAACACAGGAGGAAGAAAAGCUGGAGUUCAAUCAAUGCUUAAAAGAGUAUAAACAUUUUACAACAGCAAAUUACGCCCUCCUUGGUUUUAAGGACUGGGUUAUAUUAUGUUCUUUGCUAAGUGGCUUAGCAAAUCAGUUGGCAGAUUCAUGAAAUUAUGGUUUUUGGGGGUUGAAAACGGGAGGUGUUAUUGUUCUCAGUUUAAAAUUGAUCACAAAUUUGAAAACAUAAGGUGAAAUACAUUCCAAGCUACAUUUUGAGACUAUGAACAAUUCUUAUCGGAAGACAAACACUGAAAAGGACUGCAUAGCAACACGUCUCCUCUGUGGGUUAUUAAAAAUCUAAACUUUCUGCCCUCUGCUGUUUAGACCAGGAAAAAAUAAACUGGGAUAGAAAUCUGUUGUGAAGCACAUAGCGGCUGCUGAGAAGCUGCUUUCCCAGGCUCGGGACUUCUUCCCAGAACAAACUGAGAGGUUCAAGUCAAAAGCAACAUCCAUGGUGUAAGGAAUGUUUCUCCUUACCUUUCCUUCUUGGUUUUGUUCAUGGAUCAGUGUCAGAGUUUGAGUUUCUCUAACUUUCACCCAGCUUCGAAGUUUAACCCUGCCCAUUCUCAAUUCAUUUUUUGUUAGAGGAAACACCACCAUUCAAUGUCACCUUUUUUACUUGAACGCUAUUGUAAUAAACUUCAAAGAAAGGGAAUACACCAGCUUCCUAAUGACAUUGUAUUCACAACAUCUCCUUUUGACUGUGCCUUUUACUCAUGAUCACUGUAGGGAACCCUCCCCUUCUCUUCCAUCACCACUUCAGGAUGUGACACACAGGUCAACUGCCAGCGUUUACCGUGCCGCCAACCAGCUCGACAGCAACCAGUUAGGAGACCGAAAGGUAAAUAUGUUCAGAUUCACAGUACAGCAGUGGGAUGAGACAUGAAAAGUUUCUAGGACUUGUAUCUACAACUUCUGUUUCGCUGUCGUGAGUUCUAGCCUACAGCUACAGCAAGGAGAGAUGGAAUAAAGAGAAUGGUCUGUGUGCGGGCAGUUCUUGCAUUUCAGCUGAAAAUGUAGGCAAAUCACAUUAAAAAAACCCCAAAUCAGAAAUCCCAUUUUAUCACAUUUAAUUACAGCAUACUAUCUGUAAAGAAAAUUCUGUGAUUCCAUGUAAGAAGUCACCACAUGUAAAUGG
This is a long non-coding RNA of Cuculus canorus (common cuckoo), 2338 nucleotides long. RefSeq lists it as uncharacterized. NCBI's taxonomy places the organism in Eukaryota, Metazoa, Chordata, Aves, Cuculiformes, Cuculidae. The record is from RefSeq and is a predicted model, not a curated record. The transcript is spliced from 3 exons.